UCCAGUCUUCAUCUGCAACCUGCUAAAUCUCCGGGAGACUGCUGCAUCUCUGCUGUGCAUCAUGGCCACCACAGGAACAAUGUUUCCAGACCAAAGUGACUUUGACUACGCUCCAGCUCGUCUGGGACCCAGAUUCCAAAGACAGAGGUUCCUCCUCAAACUGUUUAGACUCCAGACUCUCCGACCUGAAAGAGAGAAAGCAUGCCAGCAAACACACAAAAACACACUCACUCUCUCUUUCUCUCUCACGCACACACACACACACAUAAACACACACAUGUUGUCAACUUGUGAGCUGGAUGAUCAAUAAACAGGGUUUUCUGAUGCUUCCUCACUCAACCAGCGGUGGUAUCUGACUAACAGCUCCUCCCACAGCUUCUCCUCUCCCUGCCUUGGAUGCCUCCUCUCUUAAUGCUGCAGAAAUGUACAAAACAACUUUUUGUAUACUUUCCUCAGUGUUGUGUGAUUGUUGGUACUAUAAGCAGUAGAGACAUGAAUAUAUGCACACACAAAAGCUCAUAUGCAUAUUCAGAAAGACAGAAGCAACAAGUAUUGUCUCAAUUCCUGACAGUCAAAUAAAGAGCAUGAAUAUAUAUAUAAAUAUAUAUAGACUUGGCCAUUUUGUAUCAAUGACCCAUGAACUGCAUGCUUCAGUAAAUUGUAACAAUUGUCUAUUAGCUUUAUGUUCCCUAAUUUUUCAUUUAUUUCUGUUGAUAUCUUUUACCAGAAAAUAAUUAAUUAAUGAUAGAAUAAAGAAACAAAUCACAGGAAUAAAUCAAAAGUUGUAAAAUCCCCUGGCUAAAAUGAAGCAGCGGCCCUAAUAACUUGAUGAAAAAGAAGAACAAUGUAUUAUUUUGGAGAUCUUUUGAAAAAUAUAAAAGAAAAUGUGUAUUUAAAAUGUUUGUUUUAAUGUUUUAGUAUUAGGAGUUUGUUUUUAUUUCGAGUUAAAAGGAAUUAAGGUUUGAGAAAUUAAAGCCAA
Long non-coding RNA from Platichthys flesus (European flounder), 979 nucleotides. RefSeq lists it as uncharacterized. NCBI's taxonomy places the organism in Eukaryota, Metazoa, Chordata, Actinopteri, Pleuronectiformes, Pleuronectidae. The transcript has 4 exons. The record is from RefSeq and is a predicted model, not a curated record.